RNAcentral lists this ribosomal RNA (397 nucleotides) under uncultured bacterium. RNAcentral describes it as "partial 16S ribosomal RNA". It matches the Rfam family "Bacterial small subunit ribosomal RNA", at positions 523 to 918 of the family's 1533-position model. The record is from RNAcentral.
AUACGUAGGUGGCAAGCGUUGUCCGGAAUUAUUGGGCGUAAAGCGCGCGCAGGUGGUUCCUUAAGUCUGAUGUGAAAGCCCCCGGCUCAACCGGGGAGGGUCAUUGGAAACUGGGGAACUUGAGUGCAGAAGAGGAUAGUGGAAUUCCAAGUGUAGCGGUGAAAUGCGUAGAGAUUUGGAGGAACACCAGUGGCGAAGGCGACUGUCUGGUCUGUAACUGACGCUGAGGCUCGCAAGCGUGGGGAGCAAACAGGAUUAUAUACCCUGGUAGCCCACGCUGUAAACGAUGAGUGCUAAGUGUUGGGAGGUUUCCGCCUCUCAGUGCUGCAGCUAACGCAUUAAGCACUCUGCCUGGGGAGUACGGUCGCAAGACUGAAACUCAAAUGAAUUGACGGGG